AGCAGUCGCCGCGGUAAUACCGAGGGUGCGAGCGUUAAUCGGAUUUACUGGGCGUAAAGCGUGCGUAGGCGGCUUCUUAAGUCGGAUGUGAAAUCCCUGAGCUUAACUUAGGAAUUGCAUUCGAUACUGGGAAGCUAGAGUAUGGGAGAGGAUGGUAGAAUUCCAGGUGUAGCGGUGAAAUGCGUAGAGAUCUGGAGGAAUACCGAUGGCGAAGGCAGCCAUCUGGCCUAAUACUGACGCUGAGGUACGAAAGCAUGGGGAGCAAACAGGAUUAGAUACCCCCGUAGUCCCUGUCUCUUAUAC
RNAcentral lists this ribosomal RNA (303 nucleotides) under uncultured bacterium. RNAcentral's name for it is "partial 16S ribosomal RNA". It matches the Rfam family "Bacterial small subunit ribosomal RNA", at positions 507 to 807 of the family's 1533-position model. The record is from RNAcentral.